AUUCUUGGUCAUUUAGAGGAAGUAAAAGUCGUAACAAGGUUUCCGUAGGUGAACCUGCGGAAGGAUCAUUACCGAGUUCAUGCCCUUACGGGUAGAUCUCCCACCCUUUGUAUACUAUACCUUUGUUGCUUUGGCGGGCCGCCUAGCUACUGGCUUCGGCUGGUAAGUGCCCGCCAGAGGACCCAAAACCCUGAAUUAUUAGUGUCGUCUGAGUAAAAUAUUUAAUAUUUAAAACUUUCAACAACGGAUCUCUUGGCUCUGGCAUCGAUGAAGAACGCAGCGAAAUGCGAUAAGUAAUGUGAAUUGCAGAAUUCAGUGAAUCAUCGAAUCUUUGAACGCACAUUGCGCCCCUUGGUAUUCCGAGGGGCAUGCCUAUUCGAGCGUCAUUAUCACCCCUCAAGCCUAGCUUGGUGUUGAGGCCUGCUGUAAGGGCAGCCUCUAAGAUCAGUGGCAGUGCUGUCAGGCUCUAAGCGUAGUAAAAUUCAUCGCUAUAGACACCUGGUGGACACUCGCCAGAACCCCCCCAUUUUUUAAUGAUUGACCUCGGGUUAGGUAGGGAUACCCGCUGAACUUAAGCAUAUCAAUAAGCGGAGGAAAA
Molecule: ribosomal RNA, 598 nt
Filed under: uncultured Ascomycota
Lineage: Eukaryota; Fungi; Ascomycota
Description: eukaryotic LSU rRNA
Rfam family: 5.8S ribosomal RNA (bases 233-386)
Source: RNAcentral